UCAUUAAUGGUCUAUGUAGAACUGGGAACUGGUGUUUAUAGAUGCCAUGGUGGAAGACACGAUAUUCUUCUCUAAUAUCUGGAAAUCUCUGCACUAGGAUCGGUGCCAAGAGAUUGUCCAGGGCAUUGGUACAUAGCAUGAAUGCGGAGAUCUGAUAUUACGCAUGUGAAAUGUUGGGCAGCAUCUAGCACAGAAAUUGCCAUGGACCUGCAUUGUAACAUUGGUGUUAGUAGUGGGAUGAGUGCGUCUAAAUAAAUGAGGUUAUUAUCA
Molecule: long non-coding RNA, 270 nt
Organism: Erpetoichthys calabaricus (reedfish)
Lineage: Eukaryota; Metazoa; Chordata; Cladistia; Polypteriformes; Polypteridae
Exons: 2
Source: RefSeq, a predicted model, not a curated record